CCUACGGGAGUCAGCAGUGGGGACUAUUGCACAAUGGGGGAAACCCUGAUGCAGCGACGCCGCGUGAGUGAAGAAGUAUUUCGGUACGUAAAGCUCUAUCAGCAGGGAAGAAAAUGACGGUACCUGACUAAGAAGCCCCGGCUAACUACGUGCCAGCAGCCGCGGUAAUACGUAGGGGGCAAGCGUUAUCCGGAUUUACUGGGUGUAAAGGGAGCGUAGACGGCAGCGCAAGUCUGGAGUGAAAUCCCAUGGCUUAACCAUGGAACUGCUUUGGAAACUGUGCAGCUAGAGUGCAGGAGAGGUAAGCGGAAUUCCUAGUGUAGCGGUGAAAUGCGUAGAUAUUAGGAGGAACACCAGUGGCGAAGGCGGCUUACUGGACUGUAACUGACGUUGAGGCUCGAAAGCGUGGGGAGCAAACAGGAUUAGAUACCCGAGUAGUC
RNAcentral lists this ribosomal RNA (440 nucleotides) under uncultured bacterium. RNAcentral's name for it is "partial 16S ribosomal RNA". It matches the Rfam family "Bacterial small subunit ribosomal RNA", at positions 338 to 795 of the family's 1533-position model. The record is from RNAcentral.